UCAAGGAAAAGAUCAGCACCCAGCACUCUUGAACUAUAUGCUAGGCCUCUUCUUCCUGGGACCUAAUGGAUUUAAACGGCUUGAGAGAAUGGAAUAAGUUGUUGAAAAUGGUCCUUUCGAAAGACUUCACCGAAGGCCAAAGAUGAGACUCACUGAAGCCAAGCUGAUCAACAAUAUCUAUAAGUUGACGCAAUCUAAUCAAGAAGCGAUCUUGCCCUUGGAAGGUGGAUUUAUGGGCCACUGUCCCCAAGAAGAUGAACAUCAGGCAGAUGACUAUCUUCUCCAUGUUGCCAGGACUGGAUCUCAUAAGUGCCAGUAGAGCAAGACCUUGGUCUCAGUUUUCACUUCAAUUUGACUGUGAACAGCCUGUCAGCAAAGCUACCUAUUUAUUCAUCCUUCAGGGAGAGGUAAAGCCCUCCCAUUGCAGCCUGGAAAUCUUUGUAAAAUGGAUGAAUGCUUGAGAGACUUCUGUGAAGGGCAGUAUGGGACAUACUUCAGUAUAUACCACUGUGCGUAAGUGCAGGAGCUCCAGACUUCCUAUACAGGAGACACAGGGGCAGCAGUCCAGCUGGAAGCAAGCGCACUGCUUUUACUUAACAUCUGUGUUUCUUUGAUGCCUUGGAAUGAGGUGGUGUCUGCCAAGCCCUUGUGCACAGCUGAAUAGGAAGCCCCUCCCCCCAUUCUCCCAAGGGGCAGCAGCGGGAUCUGCCGAGAGUCUGCAGGCUGAACGUGGUCCUCAUUCUGGACAGUUGUUUCUGCUUCUAAGAAUCAGGAUCAUUUUUGGAAGAUUACCACUUUUCAUCUUUGUAUAUACUGAAGUAAUACCUGUGUGUCGUGAAAUGAAGAAUUCAAAGAACAUGUCAGUGUAAAGACAGAGCAAAAUAUAAAAUUACUCCCUUUCUUCCCUAAUUUUCACUCUUGGGACACUCUUGAGAGUUUGCUGUGUAUCAUUCUAGACUCUUCUUAUGUACAUAGAACAGUAUAGAGGACUAUAUAUAUAGGUAGAGAGAGAGAGAGAAAGAAAUAGAAUUAUAUAUGGAGAAAGAGAUAUGUAGAAAUAGAUACAGAAAUAGAAAAAUGUGGUUUUUUUCCAGUAAAAAUUUAAUUUUACCAUACAUAUUCUACAACUUUCCUUUUUCAUUCAACAACAUAUGUCAGGGCAGCAACCCAUACAGAAUUUAUGCACAGGGCAAUUUCAUUGAAAUAGCUGGAUUACUAUUCCACUGUAUGGCUGUAAUAACUUAACCCAUUCACAGCCCUAUUGACAGAUUUAUUUCUAAUUAUCAUAUUCUACAAAAUAUGCUGUAACGAACAUUCUUAAACAUCUGUAUCUUUUAGCAUAUGUGAAAUAUAUUCCUUUAGGGUACAUAUCCUGUAUUUCACUUCCUAUGUGGAAAGAUAACAUCCUUUAAAAAAUUUGAAACUGCCAAAUUGCCCUCCACCAUGCCACAUCAGUUUAUGCACCCACUCAUAAUGCAGUUUCCUUUCCUCUUCCAGCCUCAUAAACACUUUAUGUUGUAUUUUAAAGAUUUGCCAAUAUGCAAAGGCAAAAUAUAGUAUCCACUUAUGGGUUUGUCUUUCUUGAUCAAUAGUUAAGUUUGGCCUAUUUUCAUAUCUUCAUUAUCAGUGUAUUUUUUUUGUAUGUGUGUGUGUAUGUGUGUAUGUGUGUGUGUGUGUGUGUGUGUGUGUGUGUGAACAGCCUUGUUCACAUUCUUUGCCCAUCAACUGGGUUGUUUCUUACACACUUGUAAGGGUUUUUUUUUGUAUUAAAGAUAUGUUAAACCUGUUGAAAUUAUUUCCUCUUUGGUGUCUUUUGCCAUACAGAAAUUUUAAGUUGUCAUGUUAUUAUAUCUGAGAAUCUUAUGUUUUGUGGAAUAAACUAUUUAAUAUCAAAAACCUCCCAUAAUAGUAAAUAGUAAUAAUUGGUUUAGUGUUCCUCUUGCUUGGGGAAUUCCAGUGCCAAGGGGGGUGGGAGUCACUAUGAACUCAGGAGUGCUUUUAAAUGAAUUUGAACUUAAUUCAUCGCAUGACCAGCUACGUACUUUCUUGAAAAACAAUAAUAGACAUAUG
This is a non-coding RNA of Manis javanica (Malayan pangolin), 2070 nucleotides long. The record is from RefSeq and is a predicted model, not a curated record. Lineage: Eukaryota; Metazoa; Chordata; Mammalia; Pholidota; Manidae.